This 65-nucleotide transfer RNA is filed under the name Hydropsyche formosana. RNAcentral's name for it is "tRNA-Cys". Lineage: Eukaryota; Metazoa; Arthropoda; Insecta; Trichoptera; Hydropsychidae. The record is from RNAcentral.
GGUUUUAUAUUCUAAUCAAGAAUUUAAGUUGCAAACUUAAUAAUAUAAUUUUAUUAUUAAAACUU